Molecule: ribosomal RNA, 253 nt
Filed under: uncultured bacterium
Lineage: Bacteria
Description: partial 16S ribosomal RNA
Rfam family: Bacterial small subunit ribosomal RNA
Source: RNAcentral
UACGUAGGGUGCGAGCGUUGUCCGGAAUUAUUGGGCGUAAAGGGCUCGUAGGCGGUCUGUCGCGUCGGGAGUGAAAACUCAGGGCUUAACCCUGAGCCUGCUUCCGAUACGGGCAGACUAGAGGUAUGCAGGGGAGAACGGAAUUCCUGGUGUAGCGGUGGAAUGCGCAGAUAUCAGGAGGAACACCGGUGGCGAAGGCGGUUCUCUGGGCAUUACCUGACGCUGAGGCACGAAGGCCAGGGGAGCAAACAGG